AUAAGCGUGAGGUUGGAGGUUCAAGUCCUCCCAGGCCCACCAGUUACACGAUGCUAAAAGUUGCUAUAUUGGGAGAGUUGAUAAUCCCUUACAGGAAAUUAUUGCCCUUAAUAAAACUUUAUUUUCUAAAAGCAUUCAGAGCUGACAUAGAAUAGAGCUGACAUAGAAUUGAGAAUCUGACAUAGGAAUUAUUGAAAUUGUUUUGGAAUUAUUGAAAUUGUUUUCUAUCAUUUUAAAAGGCUAAAAUAUUCUGUCUCUAUUUUUAAAAUAGCAUCAGGUGUUUUGUAAGAGUGUGAAGUUUUUAAGUGUGAGGUUUUUUAUAUUUUAGUGUGAGGUUUUUAUAAGGGUAUGACGUGAGAGCGUUUUGACCUGUUUUAGGGGCCGUAGCUCAGCUGGGAGAGCACCUGCUUUGCAAGCAGG
This 420-nucleotide unclassified non-coding RNA is filed under the name uncultured Bartonella sp. RNAcentral's name for it is "partial 16S-23S ribosomal RNA intergenic spacer". The stretch from base 378 to 420 matches the Rfam family "tRNA", at positions 1 to 42 of the family's 71-position model. The record is from RNAcentral. Lineage: Bacteria; Pseudomonadati; Pseudomonadota; Alphaproteobacteria; Hyphomicrobiales; Bartonellaceae.